AGCGAACGUUUGCGGCGGGCUUAACACAUGCAAGUCGAACGGGCUGUUCCUUCGGGGGCAGUCAGUGGCGCACGGGUGCGUAACACGUAGGUAAUCAACCCUCUGGUUGGGGAUAACACUUCGAAAGGAGUGCUAAUACCCGGUAUGGCGCAGCGGUCUUCGGAUCGCGGCGAGAAAGACCCGCAAGGGUUGCCAGAGGACGAGCCUGCGGCCCAUCAGCUAGUUGGUGAGGUAAAGGCUCACCAAGGCGACGAUCUGUAGCGGGUCUGAGAGGAUGAUCCGCCACACUGGAACUGAGACACGGUCCAGACUCCUACGGGAGGCAGCAGUGGGGAAUUUUGGACAAUGGGCGCAAGCCUGAUCCAGCCAUGCCGCGUGAGUGAAGAAGGCCUCGGUUGUAA
This 401-nucleotide ribosomal RNA is filed under the name uncultured bacterium. Its description in RNAcentral is "bacterial SSU rRNA". It matches the Rfam family "Bacterial small subunit ribosomal RNA", at positions 29 to 428 of the family's 1533-position model. The record is from RNAcentral.